CAGAGUUGCAAAACUCCCACAAACCAUCGCGAAUCUUACCCGUACGGUUGCCUCGGCGCUGGCGGUCCGGAAGGCCCUCGGGCCCCCCGGAUCCUCGGGUCUCCCGCUCGCGGGAGGCUGCCCGCCGGAGUGCCGAAACCAAACUCUUGAUAUUUUAUGUCUCUCUGAGUGAACUUUUAAAUAAAUCA
RNAcentral lists this unclassified non-coding RNA (188 nucleotides) under soil metagenome. RNAcentral describes it as "partial internal transcribed spacer 1". The record is from RNAcentral.